GUUGGGUUUAAUUAAAUUUAUCAAAUAGAAAGUUAAUUUUGUUUUUGUGAAGACACAAUCUUCCCCACACAACAAUUUCUAUUAAAGGAUAUAGAAAAUGAAAAACUUCAAAUAUUAGAUUUAAGAUCUGAAUCUUGAUUUUCCCAAGGAGAACCUACAUUUCUUUGAGAAUAAGAUUGUUCCUUUUUUGUUUGCUUGUUUUCCCCAAAGCUUAUUUCUAAUAAGGAAGCAUUCACAUCCUAUGUUUCAUUUGGGGGAGUCGGAGAAUACUUUGGAACCAUGUUAAUGGAGACUGAACAGCAGAAGGAGGAACUGUACUCUCCACACUGAUAGUUUCUGUUGGCAGAUAAAUGCUCAAUUAUUCUUUUCACUUUACCUAAGGAUAUAUUUUCCAUGUAAGUCUGUAAAAGAUAAAAAUGGUUAUUAAACAAGUUCUUUUUUAUUUUAAAAAGACAGGGUCUCUGUGUGUUCCCCAGUCAAGCCCUGAACUCCUAGGCCCAAGCAAUUCUGUUGUCUCAUCCUCCCCAUUAGCUGGGACUACCAGUGUGUACCACCAUGUCUCGCUCAAACAAGUUCAUUUUCAGAUCCAAAGGAAUUACAGAUAAGAAAAAUGGAAAUGUUUAAAGUGAAAUACACAAAAAAUAACAACUUAAGACUUUGAGUUCUCGCAAUAUUUUUGACUGGAUAAUCUGAAAAUACUUUUACUACAAAUCACUUGGAUAUGCUAGAUGAAAUAUAACAUGCAUGCUUUUAAAUGCUAUUAUGAAAGGCAGGAGGGUCCCCUGGAAACUCAUUUAUUAUUUUUUUUUAAUUGAUCUUUUGACUCCUCUGGAUUAACUUUUCUGCCAGUCUGGUUAACAUUAGGUAUGGGUUUCAAUGACCAUAAAAGAACAGUUGACAAAUCUUUGGGCCCACGAGGGGCAGAAAAUUGUAUUUAAGACUCUCAAAAUAGGGCUGGGGUUGUGGCUCAGCAGUAGAGCGCUUGCCUCGCAUGUGCAAGGCCCUGGGUUCGAUCCUCAGCACCACAUAAAAAUAAAUAAAUAAAACUUACUGUGUACAACUACAACUAAAAAAUAAAUUUAAAAAAAAAGACUCUCAAAUAAAGACCCCUUGAAUGAUUGUGAAACUGUGAAAGAGGAGAACUUAAAUCAUUCAUUUCCUCUCAAAGUGAGAUUUAAAAGAGACUUUCAAGCUUAGCCUGAUCUACUAAGGAAAGGGGAAGAAAGGAAAACCCUGAGAACAAGAACCUGAGAACCUUAGGCUACCCUCAUUCCAGUUUAGGUUUUGAAUUUAUACUGUCUAGAAGACCUAGAUUCUUUAAGUGAGGGGAAAAAAAACAUUAUGGGCCUGGUAAUAAUACAGUGCACUUAAUAGAAGUAAUUCAAAGCCUUCUCUAGAAAGAUAUAUUUUCAACCCAGGCUGCAUAGGAUUUCUACAGAUAAAGUCUCACUAAACAUGAGCUCACGAUUUAAAAUUGGAAAAUACACAAACAAUCCAGAAUCAUCAGAAAUAACAGCCAACAUAAUUAGAUCCUAGUUCAGAAAUAACCUAUAAAAUUAAUGUUUAAAUUUGUUAAAGAGAAAAAGCAGAUACUGCUGAAAUAUUUACUAGGAGUAAAAUAAAUAUUCGUAGUGAAAUAUUUAUUAGGAGUAAUUUUUCAGGCCUACAAAGGGUUAAUUUGUGUGUUGUCUGCACCUUAGUCAUGAAGUUAAUCAGAGCCAGAAUUCCACUUAGGGGUGAGAGGGUACUCUGUUAUUUUUAGAUCAAUCUUUCCUAUACAUGCUGGGGUUCAAGUAACAGAACUAAAUGUGGGAUUGGGGAGGGAGGUUUGCUUCAAUUGUGGGCCACUGAGCAAAGGGAAAGCUGUGUUACCAUUGAAGUUGGAAAGCAGACUGACUAAUUUCAAGAAAGUACGGAAUCAAAUAAAGGAGAAACAAGACAAAGCUAGAGCAUUUCAAAGGUGGAAGAUGUGGUAUUCUCUAAGGAAAAAGAACAAACACAAGUAACCCAUUAUAGAUCUUCUUCCUUAGAGAAGUCUGUGGUUGGAGGCUGACUUGGGCAAUAUUUGGGAACAUUGCUUUGCCUGUGAAAUGAAACCAGAUCCAAUAGAAGAGUUUAAUCUCAGAAAUAAAAUUCUGAAUUAGGCUGAGAUGUAAACAGGAGAUUUUAAUUCCUGGAACCAUAGAUAUUUAAAUGGGUAUGGUUUCUCCUGUCUCUAUACCCAAGAACAUCUGAUCUUUGUUGUGUGAGUGUUGGAGACAAAUUUUCCAGGCUUCUGCCUCAAUUCAUUACCUUCCAAAUGAGUGAGACAGAAAGGUUCUCCACACUAGAAUUAGGCCUUGAUGUUUUAUCUUAGUGUAAAUUUAGCAUCAUGUCAGGUUUAUAGGUAGCACAUCAAGAUGCAAAAAAUAAGCUGAAAUCUUGUGUUGGUUACUUGCACCUACAUUCAAGUGUUUGGAACUUUUUGACACCUAUUUUUAGGGUAGGAAAUGAAAUAGUCAAAUUCAUAAAAUUAAUUCAAACUGUUUUUGCCUAAGAAAAUAAUUAUAGAUUUCUAGACAGGAAUCAGUUGUCUUCAUGAACAAAGUUGAACUCAGAGGUAAAAACGGGAUUAGCAUAACUUGAUGGGGCCACUUAUAUUAGCUGGACACUGCAGUGUUAUAAAAACAAAACUGUCUAGUUAAAUAUGAAGAAUUUUGUGCCAGUCCUCAUAAGAGCUGAAAAAUCAUCCAGUGGUUAUUCGUUCCUUCCUCUCCACAUCCAUUUUGACCAUUCUUUUUCUCAUAGCAUGGGUCUUUGUAGAGAACCUUUUAUGUUCACUAACCUGCAUCUGCCAAAUGGUGGCCUCUGAGCCUGUAUCUACACAGCCUUCCGGUUCAGCUCCUCAAACAUGACUGUGCUGCUCUCUGUGGCUCAAUUCUGUCAGUGUCAGAUGUUAUGAUCAGGGGUUUUUCCAGUUUGAGGCAGUAUGGAGAGACUUCUGUACUUUCCUGUAACCCUGAGACUUCUGUACUUUCCAAGCUCCCUUUCCAAGCUCUGUGUUUUUCAAGCAGCUUGGGCACCCAGGGCACCCUGCAAUGAUCUGUACAGUUCCACAUAACACCACCAUUUCUAUGUGAUUUUGUUGAGCUUGAUGGUCUUUGUUGUAGCUUACAAGGAGUGAUCCUUCUGGAGGGUCAGUGAGGACUUUUUUUUCCCAAAGAGUAUGGUAAAGGGCAGACAAGGAUCUCCAUUUCACAGAUACCAGGAAGCAUAAAAGAGAAAUAGGUAGAAUACUUAGCAGAUAGAAUUGCAGUCUUCUUACUAAUUAUUUGAUUUCACUUAGAUAUAUUGUUUUUCUUUUUCCCAACUUUAGAAGCUAAUAGAUUUAAAAGGUGGACUUAUGUAGUAGUUUCUUUAGAAUAGCAUUGACAAAGUUUGCAAGUUCUGAGGAAUAUUAUAUUUUCUGAGGAAGAAAGUCUACACUGAGGGGGGAUAGUAGAGGAUAGGAAAGGCAGCAGAACACAACAGACACGAGUAUGGCAAUAUGUAAAUCAAUGGAUGUGUAACUGAUGUGAUUCUGCAAUCUGUAUAUGGGGUAAAAAUGGGAGCUCAUAACCCACUUGAAUCAAAUUGUGAAAUAUGAUAUAUCAAGAACUAUGUAAUGUUUUGAACAGCCAACAAUAAAAAAUUAAAAAAAAAAAAAGAAAGUCUACACUGAAUAAAUUUUAGAAAUAAUUUAAGCAAAGUAGAGCAUUUUCCUUUGGUGUAGGACUUCUCAGGUCCUUUAAUAUGCUCCUAGAGGUUGAAGGUAUAGCUCAAUGUUAGAGAACUUGCUUAACAUGAGGGAGGCCCUGUGUUCAAUCCCCACUACCUCUGAUAAAUAAAUAAUAAUGCAGGCUAACAGACACUGUGACACUUCCAGAGUGGGUUAAAAUCUGAUUUCCCCAAAUUUAUUUGACCACCAGAAAAAAACAUAGACAUGAAAACAAAAGCUUUAACUUUGUUGUUCCUACCAGUGCAACUUCCAGUGCUCUCCUGACCCAAGGGGAC
This 4032-nucleotide long non-coding RNA is filed under the name Marmota monax (woodchuck). Lineage: Eukaryota; Metazoa; Chordata; Mammalia; Rodentia; Sciuridae. The record is from RNAcentral.